RNAcentral lists this ribosomal RNA (507 nucleotides) under uncultured bacterium. RNAcentral's name for it is "partial 16S ribosomal RNA". It matches the Rfam family "Bacterial small subunit ribosomal RNA", at positions 28 to 506 of the family's 1533-position model. The record is from RNAcentral.
GACGAACGCUGGCGGCGUGCCUAAUACAUGCAAGUCGAACGCUUCUUUCCUCCCGAGUGCUUGCACUCAAUUGGAAGGAGGAGUGGCGGACGGGUGAGUAACACGUGGGUAACCUACCCAUCAGAGGGGGAUAACACUUGGAAACAGGUGCUAAUACCGCAUAACAGUUUAUGCCGCAUGGCAUAAGAGUGAAAGGCGCUUUCGGGUGUCGCUGAUGGAUGGACCCGCGGUGCAUUAGCUAGUUGGUGAGGUAACGGCUCACCAAGGCCACGAUGCAUAGCCGACCGAGGAGGGGGAUCGGCCCACCGGGGAAUGAGAACGGGCCCAAACCCCUACGGGAGGCAGAAGUGGGGAAUCUUCGGAAAUGGACGAAAGUUGGCCCGGGCAACGCCGGGGGAGGAAAGAGGGUUUUCGGAUCGAAAAACUCUGUUUUUAGAAAAAAACAAGGACGUUGAUAACGGACGGUCCCCUGACGGUAUCAAACCAGAAGGCCACGGCAAACUCCGU